Molecule: ribosomal RNA, 108 nt
Filed under: Planctomycetota bacterium
Lineage: Bacteria; Pseudomonadati; Planctomycetota
Source: RNAcentral
CCCGGUGAUCAUAGGAUUCUGGUCAUACCCGUUCCCAUUCCGAACACGGUCGUCAAGCAGAAUCCGCCGAUGAUAUUGCUUAAGCGAGAAAGUAGGUCGUUGCCGGGG